This 684-nucleotide ribosomal RNA is filed under the name fungal sp. K2. RNAcentral's name for it is "partial 18S rRNA". The record is from RNAcentral. Lineage: Eukaryota; Fungi.
GGGUCAUCAUAGAGUCCCGUCCGAUCCCUAGUCGGCAUAGUUUAUGGUUAAGACUACGACGGUAUCUGAUCGUCUUCGAUCCCCUAACUUUCGUUCCCUGAUUAAUGAAAACAUCCUUGGCGAAUGCUUUCGCAGUAGUUAGUCUUCAGCAAAUCCAAGAAUUUCACCUCUGACAGCUGAAUACUGACGCCCCCGACUAUCCCUAUUAAUCAUUACGGCGGUCCUAGAAACCAACAAAAUAGAACCGCACGUCCUAUUCUAUUAUUCCAUGCUAAUGUAUUCGAGCAAAGGCCUGCUUUGAACACUCUAAUUUUUUCACAGUAAAAGUCCUGGUUCCCCCCACAGCCAGUGAAGGCCAUGGGGUUCCCCAGAAGGAAAGGUCCAGCCGGACCAGUACUCGCGGUGAGGCGGACCGGCCAGCCAGACCCAAGGUUCAACUACGAGCUUUUUAACUGCAACAACUUUAAUAUACGCUAUUGGAGCUGGAAUUACCGCGGCUGCUGGCACCAGACUUGCCCUCCAAUUGUUCCUCGUUAAGGGAUUUAAAUUGUUCUCAUUCCAAUUACGAGACCCAAAAGAGCCCCGUAUCAGUAUUUAUUGUCACUACCUCCCCGUAUCGGGAUUGGGUAAUUUGCGCGCCUGCUGCCUUCCUUGGAUGUGGUAGCCGUUUCUCAGGCUCCCUCU